CAACUUUCAGCAACGGAUCUCUUGGCUCUCGCAUCGAUGAAGAACGCAGCGAAAUGCGAUAAGUAAUGUGAAUUGCAGAAUUCAGUGAAUCAUCGAAUCUUUGAACGCACCUUGCGCUCCUUGGUAUUCCAAGGAGCAUGCCUGUUUGAGUGUCAUG
RNAcentral lists this ribosomal RNA (157 nucleotides) under Trametes vespacea. RNAcentral's name for it is "5.8S ribosomal RNA". It matches the Rfam family "5.8S ribosomal RNA". Rfam says of the family: 5.8S ribosomal RNA (5.8S rRNA) is a component of the large subunit of the eukaryotic ribosome. Lineage: Eukaryota; Fungi; Basidiomycota; Agaricomycetes; Polyporales; Polyporaceae. The record is from RNAcentral.